ACCCGGGUAGCUCAAUUGGCUAGAGCGUGGGACUUUUAAAGAUCAUUGCCAACAAAUUGCCUUGAUCCUUUGAGACAUCCCAAGGCUGGGGGUUCGAGCCCCCCCUCGGGUG
Xylariomycetidae sp. FL2044 is the source of this 112-nucleotide non-coding RNA. The record is from the annotation of a GenBank genome assembly. NCBI's taxonomy places the organism in Eukaryota, Fungi, Ascomycota, Sordariomycetes.